Molecule: ribosomal RNA, 497 nt
Filed under: uncultured bacterium
Lineage: Bacteria
Description: partial 16S ribosomal RNA
Rfam family: Bacterial small subunit ribosomal RNA
Source: RNAcentral
GAUGAACGCUGGCGGCGUGCCUAAUACAUGCAAGUCGAGCGAACAGACGAGGAGCUUGCUCCUCUGACGUUAGCGGCGGACGGGUGAGUAACACGUGGAUAACCUACCUAUAAGACUGGGAUAACUUCGGGAAACCGGAGCUAAUACCGGAUAAUAUAUUGAACCGCAUGGUUUAAUAGUGAAAGACGGUUUUGCUGUCACUUAUAGAUGGAUCCGCGCCGCAUUAGCUAGUUGGUAAGGUAACGGCUUACCAAGGCAACGAUGCGUAGCCGACCUGAGAGGGUGAUUGGCCACACUGGAACUGAGACACGGUCCAGACUCCUACGGGAGGCAGCAGUAGGGAAUCUUCCGCAAUGGGCGAAAGCCUGACGGAGCAACGCCGCGUGAGUGAUGAAGGUCUUCGGAUCGUAAAACUCUGUUAUUAGGGAAGAACAAAUGUGUAAGUAACUAUGCACGUCUUGACGGUACCUAAUCAGAAAGCCACGGCUAACUACGUG